CCCUUAGAUGUUCUGGGCUGCACGCGCGCUACACUGAAGCUAUCAACACGUUUUCCCUCCCUGAGAAGGGCGGGUAACCUUUUGAAUCAGCUUCGUGGUAGGGAUCGGGGCUUGCAAUUGUUCCCCGUGAACCAGGAAUUCCUAGUAGACGCGAGUCAUAAGCUCGCAUCGAUUAAGUCCCUGCCCUUUGUACACACCGCCCGUCGCUACUACCGAUUGAACGUUUUAGUGAGGCAUUUGGACCGACGCAUCUCAGUUUAACCGCUGGUUUGUGUUGGAAAUACUUCCAAACUUGAGCGUUUAGAGGAAGUAAAAGUCGUAACA
RNAcentral lists this ribosomal RNA (324 nucleotides) under uncultured eukaryote. RNAcentral describes it as "partial 18S ribosomal RNA". It matches the Rfam family "Eukaryotic small subunit ribosomal RNA", at positions 1470 to 1796 of the family's 1831-position model. The record is from RNAcentral.